Molecule: long non-coding RNA, 1649 nt
Organism: Balaenoptera acutorostrata (minke whale)
Lineage: Eukaryota; Metazoa; Chordata; Mammalia; Artiodactyla; Balaenopteridae
Exons: 5
Source: RefSeq, a predicted model, not a curated record
GCCCACCAAGCCGAGAAUACAAGAAAUGAAGAUUCUGAAAAAGAAGCUGAUGACCAAGAUAAGGGAUAGAAAGAUGACGUGUUUGCUUGAAGAGCGAGUGUGACUUGGACAGCUGGACUGAGAUUCUGCAGAGUGACCCCAUGACCCCACGUGGCCUGCAUUUCCUUUUCUCACGAGAGAUUUCCGUGCUUUGGACUCUCCAGAACCACAGACCAGGGUUUGGCUGCUGAACCUGGUUUGGAGGAGACAGAGCAAGAUGCUGCCUCAGGAGCUCAUCCUCCACAGCCAACCCAGGCAGCACGGGCCUUAGGCCGACCCCGGGGACGUGUGACCAAAAGUCAGGAACCUCUGGACAUGGAUUGCUGACAUCUGGUCCACAAGAUUCCAGACAAGUUAAUAUCUUGGUGCCUGCCUUCUUUACAAGGCAAGUUCCAAGGGAAGAACUGUGGCUCUCCUUCCUGGCCGCCUGGCGAAGGCGCACAAGGAUCCCUCUGUUCAUGCAAGGGGAACACCGGUUCGAGCCCUGGUCCAGGAAGAUCCCACAUGCCGCGGAGCAACUAAGUUCGUGUGCCACAACUAAUGAGCCUGUGCUAUAGAGCCCGCAAGCCACAGCUACUGAAGCCCGUGCGCCUAGAGCCCAUGCUCUGCAACAAGAGAAGCCACCGCAUUGAGAAGUCCUGGCACUGCAAUGAAGAGUAGCCCCUGCUCGCCGCAACUAGAGAAAGCCUGCGUGUAGUGACGAAGACCCAAUGCAGCCAAAAAUAAAUAAGUAAAAUAAAUAAAUAAAAUAAAUUUAUUAAAAGAAGAGAUGUUUGUACAUGUUUGAAGCAUUACAUUAGGUACCUGCCGUCUUUCUUCCUUUCCAUUUUUUUCCUAAAGUGCUCUCACCCUAUUUCCUGCACAGGACCCGACAUGGUUCUCAUUUGAAUUAUGGCAAAUUGGAAGACAUUGGUAGUCAUGCAGGUUGAUUUAUUUUUAAGAAUGAGUUCUGUUUCUGACAUAUAGAGGAAAAGAAUGUAAUUUAUGGAAAGUUAAAUAUUGGAGAAUCUUCCAUUCCAAAGAUACAUUUUUUGCAACUUUUUUAAUAGGGUAAAGAACUACAUUUCAAAGGGUGAAACACAAGAAUGGCUAUUGGGAAUUUUCCCCCAUAAGUAAUUUGUAACUUGAUCCUGACCAGCUCUGAGAUCUGUAUGAUUCAUGUUGUUGCUUUCAUAAAUGUUAUGUCCAUAAAAUGAAGUUCUUAGAAGCAAUGUUUGAGUUCUCCAUUGGAUUUAGGAAGAAUUGCUGGGAUGCUUGAAUAACUGCAGAGCAAGAGGCCCUCAAAUUUUCCUACUUUGUCUUUCAGUAAUACUUCAUAGUUUGGCUGACUUUUCAUCCAUUCUGCUGAUUCUGUCAGUGAGUUCCUCUUUAUUGACAGCCAAAGGCACUCAUGGAAAAUGCUUAAACAACCAAGUGUAAAAGCAGAAGUUGAGGUCACUCCAUCUACUAUGAAAGUGGGGCAUGUCUCUAUCUCAGACCUGAGUCUGUUGAUGAAUACGUUUGUUAUUGUUGUUGGUGGUUGUGAUCAUGGUUGAAUUUUUUGUGUUGUUGUUUGUUUUAAUUUAUUACUGCCUCUAGGGUAUAAUUGUGGAAUGAUAGCUUUAUUUUAA